GAUGAACGCUGACAGAAUGCUUAACACAUGCAAGUCGACUUGAACUUCGGUUUGGGUUGCGGACGGGUGAGUCACGCGUAAAGAACUUGCCUCACAGCUAGGGACAACAUUUGGAAACGAAUGCUAAUACCUGAUAUUAUGAUUUUAGGGCAUCCUAGAAUUAUGAAAGCUAUAUGCGCUGAGAGAGAGCUUUGCGUCCGAUUAGCUAGGUUGAGGGGUAACGGCGCACCAAGGCGAUGAUGGGUAGCCGGCCAGGGAGGGUGAGCAGCCACAAGGGGACGAAGACACGGUGCAGACUCCUACGAGAGGAAGCAGUGAAGAAUAUAGCACAGUGAGGGAAGGCGUGAUGGAGCAAUGCCGAGAGAAGGAUGAAAGCCGUCAGGAAGAAAACUGCUUUUAUAAGAGAAGAUUAUGACGGUAACUAAUGAAUAAGGAACGGCUAACUACGUG
This 450-nucleotide ribosomal RNA is filed under the name uncultured bacterium. Its description in RNAcentral is "partial 16S ribosomal RNA". It matches the Rfam family "Bacterial small subunit ribosomal RNA", at positions 28 to 507 of the family's 1533-position model. The record is from RNAcentral.